Molecule: long non-coding RNA, 1242 nt
Filed under: Manacus vitellinus (golden-collared manakin)
Lineage: Eukaryota; Metazoa; Chordata; Aves; Passeriformes; Pipridae
Description: lncRNA (ENSMVIG00005001236.1)
Source: RNAcentral
GGCGUGGCCGGGAGAAGACGGGCUCCCCGACACAUUCUCCAGGUCGGAAAGCAUGGAGCUGAACACAAACAACACAGGAUCCUGCUGAACUCCAACCUGGCCAGCCUGUAGUGUUCGCUGCCUCUGAAAGCACCCCCAGCCAAUACUGGGGAAGGGGAAAAAUCAAACCAAAACAAAAAGCGCUACCCCGAGUGCUUUCCGCCUGUGGCCCGUGGAGAGAUUACAGCAGGCCACAAUGUCGGCACCUAUAUUGAACACUGGUUCCCCUUUCCAGACUUUAGAAGCUUAAGAGCCCCAGAAUUCGUCUUUAAAGCAGAUGCAGGACAACACCUCCUGGAGGUCAGGCUGAGACAUCAGGAACCGAGGAACUGUUUUGUAAGACACGUUCUCCACUAAUAACUCGGUAUUUCCCUCCUGAUACAUAUCUAAUUAGCCUCGAAGCAAUUGUCCUCAUUAUCCACUCACCUCCGAAACCUGCUGCCUCCAUUUCAGAUCCGAAGCUGGGCCCGCCUGCCCGAAAAGGCACGGCGUAUCCACCCCACCCCUGCAGCACCAUCCAGCCCGUCUGAAGAGGAGUUACUACAAAUGUCCGAGCCUCCUCCGAGCCUACUCUCUGCAACGACCCCGGAGCCCGAACGGGAGUUCUUGGACCUCUCCAGUCGCCAGCAUCUUUGGUGAGCACCACAGGAGUGCACAGGAUUGGGGUAGCAGCCACAGCAGGGCUGAAUACGGAGGAUCAGCAACUCUCUGGCUACUAAGAAGGCUCCUGUGUCUAUAUCCAAUGAUCAGCCAGGCCUGAAACCUUCUUGUAUGCCAGUGCCUGAACUCACAGCUACUGAGUCAUGCAACUACAGAUCAUUAAAUAUAUAUGAAGUGAAAUUUUGGGCUUAGGGUAUAAGUUCACAAAAAUCCUGUGUUACGUGUCUUCUGGGCCAGGAGGGAGGGAGGGAAUCUAGCUCUGGUUUAAUAAUGAUAGAUGAUUACUGCUUUUGAAGUGCUAAAUUUUCUACACAGCCAAAAGACUUUUUUAACAUAAGUGUAGUUAGAGGUUUAAAACUGUAUGCUCACACCAAGAGUCUGCUCAUUGCCCUUCAUCCUGCAAUGAGCUCGGUGUGGUGAAGCCCUGUACUCACCCUGGAGAAUCGAGAGUACUGUACGGUACAUAAAGCAUGGAAAUUGAAGAUGUGUGAUUGAUAGUUUUCCAGGUAGUGCAAUUCUGCUGCGUGCCAGCACAGAUAACUG